RNAcentral lists this transfer RNA (92 nucleotides) under Felis catus (domestic cat). It matches the Rfam family "tRNA". From Rfam's summary of the family: Transfer RNA (tRNA) molecules are approximately 80 nucleotides in length. Their secondary structure includes four short double-helical elements and three loops (D, anti-codon, and T loops). Lineage: Eukaryota; Metazoa; Chordata; Mammalia; Carnivora; Felidae. RNAcentral also lists the same sequence under 2 other names. The record is from Rfam by way of RNAcentral.
GCCUGGUUGGCUCAGUCGGUUAAGCAUACGACUCUUGAUUUCGGCUCAGGUCAUGAUAUCAUGGUUUGUGGGUUCGAGCCCCACAUUGGGCU